RNAcentral lists this transfer RNA (73 nucleotides) under Clostridiales bacterium. RNAcentral's name for it is "tRNA-Ala". It matches the Rfam family "tRNA". Rfam says of the family: Transfer RNA (tRNA) molecules are approximately 80 nucleotides in length. Their secondary structure includes four short double-helical elements and three loops (D, anti-codon, and T loops). Lineage: Bacteria; Bacillati; Bacillota; Clostridia; Eubacteriales. The record is from RNAcentral.
GGGCCCGUGGCUCAGCUGGGAGAGCGCCGCGUUCGCAUCGCGGAGGCCGAGAGUUCGAAUCUCUUCGGGUCCA